Bufo bufo (common toad) is the source of this 664-nucleotide long non-coding RNA. RefSeq lists it as uncharacterized. The transcript is spliced from 2 exons. Lineage: Eukaryota; Metazoa; Chordata; Amphibia; Anura; Bufonidae. The record is from RefSeq and is a predicted model, not a curated record.
CAGAGAUCUGACAGCUGCCCGGCAAAUAUGUUAAAUAUUGGCAGGACUAUGUCCAAUGCACGCAGUGGUUUUUGAUCGGCCAAUUCCCAGCAUUGCCUGCCCGGACCUGUCGGCUGGAACAACCAGCUGCAGUCAGAUUUGAGAAAUAGAUGUGUAGGCCAAGAAUCACAUCUUAUCUCAAGCCCUACUCUAGAUAACCAACCGGUUGAAAGAUGUGGGAGGAUCAGUGUCAACGCUUGUGUAGACUUAAAAGUAAAGCACCAAAGACAAGACUAAAAAAGGGAAAUAAGGGUACUUUCACACUUGCGUUGUUGAAAUCCGAAUGCAAACGGAUAGCAUUUGUAGACAAAUGAAUUGCAAUACCGGAUCCGUCUCUCUGGUGAUCUCCUAUAGCUAUAAAAAAGGUACAGGAAGCAAUAAACACGUAUUGUUAAGUUUGCAUAGAGAUGUACCAUCUCAGAACUAAACUUCAAAGGAGGAUUACAGGUAUGAAUAUUGUCUAACGGUUUCCUACUGGGCAUCGAUCUCAGGUUUCCACCGUGGAGACCAUUUUGCCAGUUGAACCUGAAUACAACAGAACACAGCCUAUCAAUUUACUAAGAGCUAGGAUCAUCACUAAGGCAUGAGGCAAGGAGGCCCAGCUAGCAAAAUAUGCAACUUCAAC